UCUGAAAGAAGCAGAGAGGAAACACGACGUUAGGUCUACAUUGUGAACAAGCCAGCUUAGAUCCCGUGGUGUUUCUUGAGAUCAAACCUUGUUUUGUGUGGUAGUGGCAAGCGAAGGGGUGGGUGGCAAAAAUCUAAACAAAUCACGAAGUCGUCAUUUCCCCGUGAACUUAAAUCGUGUGUUCUAAGGUUACCAUUAGCACUGGCGUCUCACAAAACGUUCAGUCUUGUCAUUGGGAAUGGAGGGAGGUAGCGUCAUUGGGAAUGGAGGGAGCUAGCGUCUGGAAUAGAAUCUGUUUUCCCCUCACAAGGUCUCAUUACGUAGCUCCCUCCACCACACCCAGCUCAGAUAGGAUUACAGGUGCGAGCCACUGUGCCUUGCCAAAUAGAGUGUUUUAAUACGAGCAGUGAUUGUACUAGUCGCUAUCAUUUAACUAAUAUGUGUGUUGUGAAAUGUGCCGGGUCCUACUGGGAAGUGUAACAGAUGAAGAAGAAGUUCUGGGAAUGUUAAGAACAUUUUACAUUCCCAAAUACCCGAGGCGAUGACUCUCUGCAGGAGCGCAGCAGAGCAUGUCGGUUGGAGGACUGGCUUGAAGUCAACUCUGUGUAACUUUGGUAUCAUGGACAAGAAACUUUGCGAGCCCAUAAGAAGGUGAUAUCGCACCUACUUCACAUGCUCGUCGUAAGCAACUUUGGCUAUAAUCCACGCUCUACAAAGAGUAAAGUUAGCUCUGACCUCGUCUCACCAGUGAGAACACAGCGGCAGCAAAGACUCGGGGAACUAGCCAUGGACCUAAGGCUGUUUAACGGCCUAGUAAGAGCACAAGUCCAAGACGUCUGAUGCUGGGGCAGUGCUUACUUGGUGUUACUUCCGGGUCAGAACUACAGCACUUCCUUUCAGAGUGGAGUCCUGAACCCUGGGGAGUGAAUGUCCAUCCUUGCGGAGAUCAGGAUUUUCAAACCGGUAUUGGUGCUCUCAUCUGACUCAACUCGGCCAUUUGGUCAGAACUGACAGGGAACAGUCCGUACUUGGUAGCCAUGACUCUUCAGAGAGGAGCCCAGAUGUGGAUCACACCUCAUCAUUUAGCUAACGCACUUAUUCUUAAUGCUCCGGGGACCUUCUGGCUUUGUCUGCGACUUAGGGAAACCAUCCGUUUCUUCCCUGACAGGACACUCUUUUCCCAAAACAAUCUUUUCCCUUUACCCUGGUACUCACUCCACAGCAUCUGGGAACUGGAUGUACUAAACAAAGUGUAGGGGGAGAGAAAGGCAGUCAUCCUCGGGGUGCUUACGUCCAGACAAUAGCAGGAAGGUUUGGCAGCCAGAGGUGUUUAUGCCAGAGAAUCUUGGCAUAAUGAGUGGAGAAAAGAGUUGGCAGAUGAGUAAGGAAGAAAAAGAAUUGACCGUGGGUUUUCCGGAGCUCAGAGAAAAGAGUUAGGUGGGGCUGUGCGAUGCCAAGCCAAGCCAUGCAAUGCAGUGCGUCAGUGGUCUUCUAGUCUGUUACAUUACUUUGGAUGCAAAACGUUCUGUAUGAUGUGUUCAGGAGGGGAGCUUGGAGGGAGACAUUCAGUAAUAGUGUACAGAAUUCUGAUAGAUUAACACCCCCCCCACACACACACACAUUUCGUGCACAGAUAAUAGCACUCUGUUGUAGAGAAGCUCAUAGCUGUUUCCCAUCUAGUUUAGCAGAGGACACAGUAAUGCUGAGUUGGGCAUGCAAGCCAAGCACCAUGGACGGGGUUCGGCGUCCUCAUCCCCCUGCUCCACUCAUGAAGAUGAGGCAGGUUCGCAGCGCGGAAUAAGCGACAUCAUCGUUUCUGAUCUUGUUGGAGUGUAACAGGGUAACGAGCAGUGGGAACUGGUGUGGAGAUGGAGAAAUUCUAUGCUGUUUCUUUACGUUUUUAAUCCACGACGGCGGGUCUUCGGGACAUGGAAACCAAGGUCUACUUCACAUCACCAGGACAACCAGAGCAUCAAUAUAGCUCCAGAGUGAUCAUGGCCUUGGCACGUUUCCUGAUCGACAGAGAAAACAAGCUCAGUCAUGGCCCGGACAGCACCACAUGUACUAUCCACAGAGAAGAAAACACCACCUCUUGUCCAUGGGAAGUUUCUGCCUAGGUCCUCUUUCCCUUUUUCAGGCCCUUUCUAUCACACGAAUGUUCUAAUUCCAGAACACUUAAUGGAGCAAAAUGCUGUCACCAAAGUGUAGCUUACUGGACCCCAGUGAUGGGAGUUGAGAUGCAGUAGACUUAGGUGAGAGGUCUGGAUGAGGACUGAUGGUCAGAAACUCAAAACAGGACAGGAAAGGCCAAACAAGUAGAACGGGUUGUAGAUUAACUGGGGUUGAACCUCUACCAGGAAAAAGAUCUGUUGUCUGCAUUCCUGAAUCAUGGUGUCUAUUUGCUUCUAAGUUCCUACAGUGAGGGAGGGGCUUUUGAUUGCUUUGUUUGUUGUUUGUUUGUUGAGCUGAAGACCUGGCCUGAAACUACAGUGACAAUGCACUUCCCUGAAGGUGUAGUUACAAAGCUCGGAUUCUGUGUUGGGAAACAGAUGGUGCUUCAUGCAUACUGCAUAUUAAAAACCAUCAUAUCUGUGUUUAUACUCACAGGUGCCACUGCACAUUAGCAAAUGGGUGAAGUAAAAGAUACCAGUGAAAUCACUCGCACAGAGGGAUGUUCUCUUAAAAGGAUAUGUGCAUUUAAAUGUUCCCAACAACUGUCAAACACAUCACUAACGAUGUCUCAGAGACAGAGGGCAGUCCAGCCGUUCACAGGCAUUCACUUUCUCUGUCAUCACGAUAAAGUCUCUCUGGGCAUGCAGAGGUUCAUAGGUUUCUCUUUUCUCGCUGCCUGAGCUUCUUUUGUUUUUGUUUUUCCAAGACAAGGUUUCUCUUGUGUAAUCCUGGAUGUCUUGGAACUAGCUCCGUAGAGAGGCUGGCCUUGAACUCAGAGAUCCACCUAUUUUUAUCUCCAGAGUGCUGGGGUUAGAGGCAUGAGCAACCGCAGACUGGCUUUGUUGUUGUUACCGUCAUCAUCAUCAUCAUCAUCAUCAUCAUCAUCAUCAUCAUCAUUUAAAUCACUACCUGAACCUUUAUAGUUCCUAUUCUUGUGACUGGCUAAGACUUUCACCUGAGACUUUCACCACCCAUUUACCUUACAUUUUCCACAAGGAAUAGCAGGAAUGAACAGGAAACCCCAGGAUUCUUUACUUCAAUGUUUCUAUAGUGUAGUGAUCAGAUUUCCACUAAUCAGAUUUACUUAGAAAUUCUAACCCUGGAGAGUUUGUGAAGAGGAAGAUAUUUUUAGAGUGAGCCAAUACAGGCUUUUGAAAUUUCAGAACUGAAUAGAAGGCAUAAGUACUUUAUCCUAAUGGCAUGUGGAGAACAGUUAGUUUACCAGGGUCAGAAGCUAACCACAGUUAGCCAAGUGCUGAGAAAGGG
Non-coding RNA from Rattus norvegicus (Norway rat), 3438 nucleotides. Lineage: Eukaryota; Metazoa; Chordata; Mammalia; Rodentia; Muridae. The record is from RefSeq and is a predicted model, not a curated record.